GCAGCUUUGGCGCAACUGGGUGCGGAUGUCUUCGAGGCGUUCGCGGGAACGUUCGUAGCCGUCGGGCUGCGCC
RNAcentral lists this transfer RNA (73 nucleotides) under Neisseria sicca. RNAcentral describes it as "tRNA-Arg(tcg)". The record is from RNAcentral. Lineage: Bacteria; Pseudomonadati; Pseudomonadota; Betaproteobacteria; Neisseriales; Neisseriaceae.